CAGCCGCCGCGGUAAUACGUAGGUGGCAAGCGUUGUCCGGAAUUAUUGGGCGUAAAGGGCUCGCAGGCGGUUUCUUAAGUCUGAUGUGAAAGCCCCCGGCUCAACCGGGGAGGGUCAUUGGAAACUGGGAAACUUGAGUGCAGAAGAGGAGAGUGGAAUUCCACGUGUAGCGGUGAAAUGCGUAGAGAUGUGGAGGAACACCAGUGGCGAAGGCGACUCUCUGGUCUGUAACUGACGCUGAUGAGCGAAAGCGUGGGGAGCGAACAGGAUUAGAUACCCCCGUAGUCCCUGUCUCUUAUAC
This 301-nucleotide ribosomal RNA is filed under the name uncultured bacterium. RNAcentral describes it as "partial 16S ribosomal RNA". It matches the Rfam family "Bacterial small subunit ribosomal RNA", at positions 509 to 807 of the family's 1533-position model. The record is from RNAcentral.